GUGAAAGAGAAAACAGCUGCUUUCCUCGCUUUGAAAUCGUUGCUUUUUGUACAAUAUGAAGAAGCAAGGCUAAUGUAGAAUCUAUAACUUCGAGCACAGAGCUAUUUAAUAAAUACUCUAGAUAAACAGUAGAGUUAUAUAUGGAGCGAUUCGCGCAAUGACUAAGCAGAUGCGCCGAAAAGCUCAGGAUCUCUAACAAGAUACUCAAAGUGUCAGAAUCAAAAGGUUUUGUCUGAACUUUAUCCUUUAAAGAAUAAUGUUCAACAAUACGUUCCAGAAUAGCAUCAAACCUAUUCAAAACUGGGACCCAUGAAUACAAAUCGCCACGAGGAUAUGGCCAAUCGUUUUUUCUGAAUUCUGAACAAAGAGAGACAAGACCCAAGUCUGAAGUUACUUCUUCA
This is a non-coding RNA of Schizosaccharomyces pombe (fission yeast), 401 nucleotides long. The record is from the annotation of a GenBank genome assembly. Lineage: Eukaryota; Fungi; Ascomycota; Schizosaccharomycetes; Schizosaccharomycetales; Schizosaccharomycetaceae.